UUUCUCUCUAGAUUUGCUCACUCUCCCUAGUACUGUGCAGCAAUUUUUACUCUUUUUAAAACCUGCUCUCCUAGAGGCAAAGCCAGCAUUGCUCAUUGGCACAGCUUAGGCCAGUGACAGAUCCAUUUUGGAGCAGCUGGAACUGACUCCAAUCUGACAUGGAGUAGCUGCCGGGCUCUGCUUACAGAGGCCACCCCUGAAGUACCCUUUGCCACCAAAACCUUUCCCAUAAACACAGCGCAGAAAGUGAUAUGUAACAGUAGAAAAUAUGGAGGUUGUAGCAUAAGUAAUGAUGAUUUAACUUAUUUUAAAAUGUAAUGAAGAGAUAUGCCUUUUAUCUUCUUUGGGCUGGUUGCAGAGUGCUUUGGUACAGUUUGCAAUUAUGAGUAUUUUGGUUGCAGCCUUUUUUUUUUUUUUUUUUUUUUUUUUUUUUUUGCCAGGGCACAUAACUGCAUUGUUCUAGACCUUAUUUUUCCUUAUUUUUCUUCAAAUAACUCCAGUGAUGAUAUUGACCUCUUCUCUGUACUGGUUUGGGUUUUUAAUAAUGCUUUGAGAGUGGGAUUACUUUCAUUUGGUAUGAGAGAGUCAUCUUCGAUUCCAGUUACUGUUAUUGGGAACACACAGAAAUUUUCAGGCAUAGAUUCAGUCACCUAG
RNAcentral lists this long non-coding RNA (654 nucleotides) under Numida meleagris (helmeted guineafowl). Its description in RNAcentral is "lncRNA (ENSNMEG00000005750.1)". Lineage: Eukaryota; Metazoa; Chordata; Aves; Galliformes; Numididae. The record is from RNAcentral.